CCGGAGGCUACUGCUAUCGAGGUUCGACUAAGCCAUGCGAGUCGAAUGUAGCAAUACAUGGCGAACUGCUCAGUAACACGUGGACAACCUGCCCUUAGGUUGGGUAUAAACCCGGGAAACUGGGUAUAAUACCCGAUAGGUCUCGAUUGCUGGAAUGCAUCGAGAUUUAAAGCUCCGGCGCCUAAGGAUGGGUCUGCGGCCUAUCAGGUAGUAGUGGGUGUAGCGUACCUACUAGCCUACGACGGGUACGGGUUGUGAGAGCAAGAGCCCGGAGAUGGAUUCUGAGACACGAAUCCAGGCCCUACGGGGUGCAGCAGGCGCGAAAACUUUACAAUGCUGGCAACAGCGAUAAGGGAACCUCGAGUGCCAGGUUACAAAUCUGGCUGUCGAGAUGCCUAAAAAGCAUUUCAUAGCAAGGGCCGGGCAAGACCGGUGCCAGCCGCCGCGGUAACACCGGCGGCUCGAGUGGUAACCGUUAUUAUUGGGUCUAAAGGGUCUGUAGCCGGCCGGAUAAGUCUCUUGAGAAAUCUGGCAGCUUAACUGUCAGGCUUUCAGGAGAUACUGUCUGGCUCGAGGCCGGGAGAGGUGAGAGGUACUUCAGGGGUAGGGGUGAAAUCUUGUAAUCCUUGAAGGACCACCAGUGGCGAAGGCGUCUCACCAGAACGGACCUGACGGCAAGGGACGAAAGCUAGGGGCACGAACCGGAUUAGAUACCCGGGUAGUCCUAGCCGUAAACGAUACUCGCUAGGUGUCGGCCACGGUGCGACCGUUGUCGGUGCCGUAGGGAAGCCGUGAAGCGAGCCACCUGGGAAGUACGGCCGCAAGGCUGAAACUUAAAGGAAUUGGC
This 847-nucleotide ribosomal RNA is filed under the name uncultured archaeon. Its description in RNAcentral is "bacterial SSU rRNA". It matches the Rfam family "Archaeal small subunit ribosomal RNA", at positions 17 to 869 of the family's 1478-position model. The record is from RNAcentral.